UUUAGAAUAGAUUUAAAGGAUUGUUAUUUUGUAUCUGUAGCUAGUCAGAAUUUGAUUUUCAUAUCUGUACUAGCAUAGGAUGGAUUUGAUUUCUAAUUUAAUAAAAACUUUUUCUAUUUAUUUGUAAAAUAAAUUGAUUGUAUGUGAUCUUUUAAUUGACAGUCUUUAUCACUUGUAUAUUGAUGCGAAUGUGAAUAUAAAUAAGCAAAUAGUAAGUGUCGUAGGUCAAAAGAAACCCCAAAAUGAAGUUAACCAAAAAUAUAUAUGGC
This 269-nucleotide long non-coding RNA is filed under the name Elaeis guineensis (African oil palm). Its description in RNAcentral is "long non-coding RNA (EGUI_LNC046273)". The record is from RNAcentral. Lineage: Eukaryota; Viridiplantae; Streptophyta; Magnoliopsida; Arecales; Arecaceae.